AACUGAACGCUUCUGGUCUGUGUCUUGAUAAGACCCCAUGUUAAAGAGCCAUCCAACUGUUGGACACAUGGUCCAAAAAGAACGUCUAAGACACCUCUUCAUUUUCAAAAAAGAAAAGUGCCAUCAUGACUGCCUAGACUCAAGGAGGUUGUGAUAGAGAUUGCCUAGAUGGUCACCAAUCUUAGGCCUUCUCUCUGGGAACCAGAAAGACUACAUUAUCCAGCCCCUCCUAAAAGUCACAAAACUGAGCUCUGUUUGGUGAGCAGAAGGAAUAAGCACCAGUUCCAGGGCUGGCAAUGCAAGAC
This 305-nucleotide long non-coding RNA is filed under the name Equus caballus (horse). Its description in RNAcentral is "lncRNA (ENSECAG00000054231.1)". Lineage: Eukaryota; Metazoa; Chordata; Mammalia; Perissodactyla; Equidae. The record is from RNAcentral.